This 254-nucleotide ribosomal RNA is filed under the name uncultured bacterium. RNAcentral's name for it is "partial 16S ribosomal RNA". It matches the Rfam family "Bacterial small subunit ribosomal RNA", at positions 526 to 779 of the family's 1533-position model. The record is from RNAcentral.
CGUAGGGCGCAAGCGUUGUCCGGAAUUAUUGGGCGUAAAGAGCUUGUAGGUGGCUUGUCGCGUCUGCCGUGAAAACCCGAGGCUCAACCUCGGGCGUGCGGUGGGUACGGGCAGGCUAGAGUGUGGUAGGGGAGACUGGAACUCCUGGUGUAGCGGUGAAAUGCGCAGAUAUCAGGAAGAACACCGAUGGCGAAGGCAGGUCUCUGGGCCAUUACUGACACUGAGAAGCGAAAGCAUGGGUAGCGAACAGGAUU